CCGCUCCUACGGGGGGCAGCAGUGAGGAAUAUUGGUCAAUGGUCGGGAGACUGAACCAGCCAAGCCGCGUGAGGGAUGAAGGUACAGAGUAUCGUAAACCUCUUUUGUCAGGGAACAAAGGCGGGGACGUGUCCCCGGAUGAGUGUACCUGAAGAAAAAGCAUCGGCUAACUCCGUGCCAGCAGCCGCGGUAAUACGGAGGAUGCGAGCGUUAUCCGGGUUUAUUGGGUUUAAAGGGUGCGUAGGCGGGCUGUUAAGUCAGCGGUCAAAUGUCGGGGCUCAACCCCGGCCUGCCGUUGAAACUGG
Molecule: ribosomal RNA, 305 nt
Filed under: uncultured bacterium
Lineage: Bacteria
Description: bacterial SSU rRNA
Rfam family: Bacterial small subunit ribosomal RNA
Source: RNAcentral